Molecule: small nuclear RNA, 159 nt
Filed under: Schistosoma mansoni
Lineage: Eukaryota; Metazoa; Platyhelminthes; Trematoda; Strigeidida; Schistosomatidae
Source: RNAcentral
AAAGGAAGGACUGUGAGACCUCCCCACUGACAAAAACUACACGCCCGAGCGCACCCGAUUAAGGUUCGUCGCGAGUUUCAACCCACCGAAGUGCAAUGGUGAGCCUCUACCUGGGGUCAGAGCAUUUCAGAUCACCCUUAACCCGGCGCCAGGUAACAU